RNAcentral lists this long non-coding RNA (2673 nucleotides) under Gossypium barbadense (sea-island cotton). Its description in RNAcentral is "long non-coding RNA (GBAR_LNC012974)". The record is from RNAcentral. Lineage: Eukaryota; Viridiplantae; Streptophyta; Magnoliopsida; Malvales; Malvaceae.
AAAGAUGUUGAAAACAUUUACAUCAAUGGAUAUAGGAUAGAUUCAUAAUUUCUCCCGUCCGCUUAUUUUACCAAUGAUGAUUCAAUUUAAUAUUAUAAAAUUAUACAUUCCUAAUUUAUUUAUAAACAUACUUUUGGUAUAUAUAAUUCUCUAGAAAAUGUAAAACAUAAAUAUAUAUUUUAGAAUUUAUAUAUAUAGUGUAUUAGAGGACAAGUGAAUGGGUAGCAUUCAGAAGAAAUUUCAUCUCUUGGCUUAGCAUUUUCCUACGUGAAAUCAAGGAAUAAUAUUGAAGCCUGCCAUGCCCAAGUAACAACGUACGACACAAGUAGCCGCUUGCUUGUCAAAUGGACGAUCUCAUUCGUCUUGUUGUAGGAGCUAUUGAAUUCUUAGACAAGCUCGUAGUAACUGUCAGAUUAAGGCAACUUUGGGUUCUGAUAAAACAAGAACAUGUUUCAUUUAGUUGCAUGUGUACAUCCACAGCUGAUUACACGCACAUAAUUUCAAUGAGUUCAAAAAGAAACGGGAAUGGUCCGCAGUGGGAGUACAGUAGGUAGGUUGAUGUGGAUUGAGGAAUCCAAUGGGUUCCAUUAAUAUGCUUUCUUCAAUAACACGACUCAAAGUGGGUGUAGGGCUGGUAAGAUGCGCCUAUCUUCUCUUUUUCCCUUUUUUUUCUCUUGUUUAUUUUGUUUGCGAUUAGUAACAUAUCCAUCUGUAAACAUUCGGUUUACUGCUUUACAGUUUGGGCUUUGAAAAGAAAAGAUUAAAAAAAAAAAAAGACAAAAUCAAUUUAGGUUUGUUAUGAUAUUUGUCAUUAUCGACUCACUAUUUGUGAGAAAUCGACUCAGUUCUCUUUACAUUAGUGGUCAAGCUGUAUAAUUCGCUUUUUUGAGUCCGCACAUGAUGGGUUUAUGUAAUAAUGCAAGCGAACCUAUACUUAAGGACACGUAUUAGCUUUAAAAUAAGAUACAUAUUGGCAUAUAUAAGAACCUAUCUAGUAAAUCGAAUUCAAAAACCGUAUCAUAUAAAUAAAAAAAUUAAUCUUCAUAAAAAAAUACAUAAAAACACUUAACAAAAUUUAAUUUCAAACAUAAUAUAUGCUUUGCUUUUUGGAGAAUGACUUAUAAAACUCCAUGAAAUGGUUCUACUUUUUUUUCUUGCAUGAUAUUUGAUCGGAGUAAAUUUUGAAAUGCCUUGAACGUCUUCAAUUUGUACAAUGCUUUUAUAUUAAAUAUUAGGUAAAAAAAUUAUUUUUAAUUUUAAUAUCAAAUAAUUUAGUUCUUCUAAAAAAAUUUAAAUCCUUAUCAAUUUUAAAAAUAAAUAAUUAAAAAUAAUUACUCAUAAUAUAAUAAUAAAUUUAACCAUUAAUGUUUAUAUAUUUUAUUAAUUUAAUCUUAAUUUUAAAAAAAAUUAAUAAAUUUAAUCUCAACAUUUACACCUUUAUAAAAAUAUUACAGACUAAAUUUAUUAAAUCAUAAUCAAAUUGAUAAAAAAACGUAAUUUACAACAAUUAAAUUUAUUAUUAUAUAUAAAAUUGAUGGAAAUCAAACUGCCCAUAGAAACAUAAAACAAAUCAUAUAACUUGAAUGGCAUACUUGGUUUAUACUGAAACCGGAUCCCACCAUUAAAACAUCUUUAUUUGAUGAACACUAAAUAAAUGAAAUAUUGAACCAAAAAAAAAACACUAAAUAAAUGGAAUGGAGUUGUACCACAUCACUGCCAAAGGGGAUGAGGAGAUAAACACAAACGUAACAUGACCCUUAAACACCCCCCCCCCCUCCCCACAAUAUAAAUCAUCAUCAUAACAUAACAACAAGCUUUACAUCACCAUCAAAUUAACAGACAAAAUAUUAAUUGAAAUAAAAUACUAUAACCGACACAUAUUCAAACAAAACCAGAAUCCUACUCCAAAUCUCCACCUGUAUAUGAAAACAGAAAAAAUGCCAAUUUCAUUACAACUGGAAAAAAAAAAGAAAAAACACAUUUAUGUAAUUAUAAAGCUAAAAAUUAAAUAAAAUAAAAAAUAAAUCCGUAUACAUUGAAUUAAAUUAAAUGAAGUUAGGCAAUCAAUUAUUGCAUUUAAUCGAAACUUCCAGACGUGUAGACCUGCCGACUUACCAUCUAUGAAUUGGUUUCUGUGUAAAUUUAGGUCUGUUUUUUCUUACAUGAAAUUAGAAGAAAGCAAUUUUAAGAGAAAGUAAUUUUCGAUCGCACAUAGUACAAGUAUGUAACCUGAAUAUGUGUAUGUAUGUUGAAAGUUGAAACUUGUUACUUACAGAUGAGAAGGACGGGAUUAGAGGACUACUUGGUGAUGGCAUAGAUAGCAUAAAUAAUACCAGGGAUGUACCCAAACAGGGUGAGUACAAGACAUAUCCAGAACUCCACCUGCAUCAAUUUUUUAUUUAAUUACGGUUCAUAUUAUAUAAUAUCAUGUAAUAAAAAUGAAAAAGGCUCAGAUAUGGAUAUUGACCUGGCAACCAAACUUGAGGAAGACACCGAGAGGAGGCAAAAUGAUGGCUAAGAGGAUAUCUAUGCAGGUAGCUGUACUAUCAUCUGCCAUCUUUUUCUUCUCCUUCUUUACAAGCCCCAAGCAAACAAAUUCAAGACUUUCGUUUCUUUCAGGAAGAGGAUUGUUUUUUGAGAGGGUUCUAGUAGGAAAGGGAGAGUGGGUGAGAG